UUUUUUUUAAUUUGUCUAGUGGCUACGACUACAACUUAUCGUACAACAAAAACAUCAACAACCUCAUGUUUUUCCACCAAUGUGACCAAAGCUGUGAUAGCUGAUACCAGUCAAACAAGUGAUGUACAAAUCGGCAUCAUCAUUGCUGGCACUAUAGCUGUUGUAUUAGUGAUUGUUUUAGUCUCAGUUAUUUCUUGGUACUGCUUUAAAAAGAAAGGUAAAUGCGUUAUCAGAAUAUAUUUCAUACCAAGACAACCAAAAAGAGACAACGCAGUUUUAAAUACCCCAAGACCACCACAAAGCAACAACGCAGUUUUAAACUCCCAGGUGGGUUUGAACUAUGCGGUCGAGGACCAUUACGACUAUCCGGAAAUAAACUCAACCUACGAUCAGAUAGAGAUCCCAACAAAUGAGACAUCCACGUACAACGGAACAUUUUAUAUCGAAUGACAUGACUAAACUUCAUUCUAAUGUCAUUUACCGUUUUGUAUUAUUUAAUUGUAGUAACUAUUACGUUGUAAAUAAAUAAU
Physella acuta is the source of this 530-nucleotide long non-coding RNA. RefSeq lists it as uncharacterized. The record is from RefSeq and is a predicted model, not a curated record. NCBI's taxonomy places the organism in Eukaryota, Metazoa, Mollusca, Gastropoda, Physidae.